This 515-nucleotide ribosomal RNA is filed under the name uncultured Formosa sp. Its description in RNAcentral is "bacterial SSU rRNA". It matches the Rfam family "Bacterial small subunit ribosomal RNA", at positions 523 to 1032 of the family's 1533-position model. The record is from RNAcentral. Lineage: Bacteria; Pseudomonadati; Bacteroidota; Flavobacteriia; Flavobacteriales; Flavobacteriaceae.
AUACGGAGGAUCCAAGCGUUAUCCGGAAUCAUUGGGUUUAAAGGGUCCGUAGGUUGAUAAUUAAGUCAGAGGUGAAAUCUUGCAGCUCAACUGUAAAAUUGCCUUUGAUACUGGUUAUCUUGAGUUAUUAUGAAGUAGUUAGAAUAUGUAGUGUAGCGGUGAAAUGCAUAGAUAUUACAUAGAAUACCAAUUGCGAAGGCAGAUUACUAAUAAUCAACUGACACUGAUGGACGAAAGCGUGGGUAGCGAACAGGAUUAGAUACCCUGGUAGUCCACGCCGCAAACGAUGGUUACUAGCUGUUGGGUUCGGUGUAAAGGAUCUAGUGGCGUAGCUAACGCGGUAAGUACUCCGCCUGGGGACUACGGUCGCAAGACUAAAACUCAAAGGAAUUGACGGGGACCCGGCACAAGCGGUGGAGCAUGUGGUUUAAUUCGAUGCAACGCGAAGAACCUUAACCUGGUCUUGACAUACUAGAAACUUUUCAGAGAUGAAUUGGUGCCUCCGGGAAUCUAGA